CCCCCAUGACUUGCUUCUCCAUAAAAUAUUCAAAAUAGUUUGAAUCAUGCUGAUCACCAUAAGUUAUCAACUCUGCCAUUGACCUCAGUGCCUCAAUCACAAAAUCCUUAUUAACCUCAUUUACAAUUUGAACUUUCUGGAGCUGAUCAGUUAAAUAUCUGAGUUCAUCCAAGGAGAAUCGAUCUCUGGAUCUCCAAAAGGAAAGCCACAUGAUUGUGGAAUCAGAGCUUAAAUAAAAAAUAAUAAUAAUAAUAAGUUCGUCGGAAUUCAAUC
RNAcentral lists this unclassified non-coding RNA (273 nucleotides) under Hevea brasiliensis (rubber tree). Lineage: Eukaryota; Viridiplantae; Streptophyta; Magnoliopsida; Malpighiales; Euphorbiaceae. The record is from RNAcentral.